CUGCGUUCACUUGAAAGGAAAGGUGUAGGCAGAUCCAUCUCUGGCAGAUCCAUCUCUGGUUCACAGUGUACCAUCACAUAAAUUGGAGCAUUGAAAUGAAUGUGCUGUGGAGGAAGACUCUGUGGAGCAGAAAAGUGCAAUAGUCUGCUGGUGCAAUGCCAUAUUCCCUAAUUGUAUUAUCCCUCAGGACUUGAAGCAAAGAAAACUUAUCCAGCUACAGCUCUGUGAAGGAAGCUUAGAAAACGCACAGACGCUG
RNAcentral lists this long non-coding RNA (256 nucleotides) under Struthio camelus australis. Its description in RNAcentral is "lncRNA (ENSSCUG00000011184.1)". Lineage: Eukaryota; Metazoa; Chordata; Aves; Struthioniformes; Struthionidae. The record is from RNAcentral.